Long non-coding RNA from Amphibalanus amphitrite, 681 nucleotides. RefSeq lists it as uncharacterized. NCBI's taxonomy places the organism in Eukaryota, Metazoa, Arthropoda, Thecostraca, Balanomorpha, Balanidae. The transcript has 3 exons. The record is from RefSeq and is a predicted model, not a curated record.
CAUUCAUCGGGGUUUUUGUUUUUUGCUGCUUACGAGCCGCGACAAAUGGCCACAAAUCCUUGCAUUUGGGUCCGGUCAUCCCAUGGAGCUCGAUCGCCUAUGUUUUAGCAAUGGGCUCUGAAAGCUUGAAGAACUGGGCACGGUGCGCGCAGUGGGCAGUGGGCACCGGCGCAAGAUUCAUACAGCACCAGCAGAGCCAAGGGCGGAGCGAAGACUUCUCGUCGAGAACUCUGGACCGACCUUCAUAGUGGAAUGGGACCUCGUGGUGCCGAGGCGAAACCUUGCACCGUCGCAAGUGGCACUAGCAAGCACGCCUCAACCUAUUAUCUAGAAGAUACGAACUUUACUAAAUCAUGAAGAUACUACCGUAUGGAUGCAUAGCAUAUUGCAUGGUCACCGGCCUGCUGCGUCCGCCCGGGGCUUCUCAGCAGCGUGUUGACACUGUCAAAGCGCCCAAUCCCGGGGCCGGUGAGACGCCGCCGGGGGGCGUGUUUACCUUUCAUCGAGAGGCUGUUUGCGCCGCGGGACUUGUCGCCUACGACGUGCAACACCCAUUAACCGGAGAGUUUCGCCGAGCGCCUGGUGAGCCGCCGCGGACACAGCUGCAGAGCAUGGGCAUAGCAUAGCUGCCGAAGGUGACACAUUCGCGCGUUGCUGUAUAAAGACCACCACAGUGGAAAA